UUAGCCUUUUAAUUGGAGGCUCGUAUGAAUGAUUCCACAUUUUAAUUUCUUUUUUCCUUAAAAAAAGAAAUUUAAUUAAAUAUUAAAAUGUAUUUAUAAAAAAAUUAGACGACAAGACCCUGUUAAACUUUACUUUAGUUAAGCUGGGGAAGCUAUUUAAAUAUAAUUUUAAUACUAUUAAUUUUAAGCCCAUCCAAUAAAAUUGAUUAAUAAGUUACUAUAGGGAUAACAGCGUAAUAUUUUUCAAAAGCUCUUAUUUAAAAAAAAGUUUACGACCUCGAUGUUGAAUUAAUAUUCUUUAAGAUGCAAUCAUACUAAAAGAAAGUCUGUUCGACUACUAAAUAAUUACAUGAUCU
RNAcentral lists this ribosomal RNA (356 nucleotides) under Selenyphantes gaimani. RNAcentral's name for it is "Selenyphantes sp. 2 TDSM-2020 partial large subunit ribosomal RNA". The stretch from base 108 to 356 matches the Rfam family "Bacterial large subunit ribosomal RNA", at positions 2079 to 2606 of the family's 2925-position model. The record is from RNAcentral. Lineage: Eukaryota; Metazoa; Arthropoda; Arachnida; Araneae; Linyphiidae.